Molecule: ribosomal RNA, 253 nt
Filed under: uncultured bacterium
Lineage: Bacteria
Description: partial 16S ribosomal RNA
Rfam family: Bacterial small subunit ribosomal RNA
Source: RNAcentral
UACGAAGGGGGCUAGCGUUGCUCGGAAUCACUGGGCGUAAAGGGUUCGUAGGCGGUGUGGCAAGUCGGGAGUGAAAUCUCUGGGCUCAACCCAGAGGCUGCUUCCGAAACUGCUGUGCUUGAGUGUGGGAGAGGCGCGUGGAAUUGCAGGUGUAGCGGUGAAAUGCGUAGAUAUCUGCAGGAACAUCCGUGGCGAAAGCGGCGCGCUGGACCACUACUGACGCUGAAGAACGAAAGCUAGGGGAGCAAACAGG